Pollicipes pollicipes is the source of this 409-nucleotide long non-coding RNA. RefSeq lists it as uncharacterized. NCBI's taxonomy places the organism in Eukaryota, Metazoa, Arthropoda, Thecostraca, Pollicipedomorpha, Pollicipedidae. The record is from RefSeq and is a predicted model, not a curated record. The transcript is spliced from 2 exons.
CUGGUCACGUGGAGAACGGCGUUUGUCUGACGGCUGUCAAACAGGCUGACGGGGCGGAGGGCGGCGAGGCCACGGACAACGAGGACGACACAGACACGCAGAGCUAGCGACACUACCAGUCGCCGGGAGGCGGCGGUCCACUCGGCGGCGAGCGACGAGACGAGCCUGCUGUGGAUGAAUUCGAAACUAUGGGGCCCCGGCUGUGCCCAGGCGUCCCACGGCAUGCGCAUGGGACGCGUUGAGUUUGUUGCUGGUGAAAUGUCGCACGCGGUGGCGCUGUCUUUGUGCACGUUGCGUGCUUUUAGCGUCGGUUGAGGCCGUCUUUUACUGGCGUUCCACCCACGGUUCGCCGCCUGGUAUGGGACAGGGCGGUACAAAAUGCCUGUACAAUACAUGUUUGGUGCCCGCA